CUGCGGCCCUUAUCGAAGCUGCAGCUGCUUCUACAUAGCUGCUGUGGUCAAAAAGGAGGCCCAGAGAAACAGUUUUCCUUGACGGUCGCGGUUCUGUUUGCUGCUAACUGAUCUGCAACAUUUUGGGAAAAGACAUCU
Small nucleolar RNA from Meriones unguiculatus (Mongolian gerbil), 138 nucleotides. The record is from Ensembl. NCBI's taxonomy places the organism in Eukaryota, Metazoa, Chordata, Mammalia, Rodentia, Muridae.